This 588-nucleotide ribosomal RNA is filed under the name uncultured bacterium. RNAcentral describes it as "partial 16S ribosomal RNA". It matches the Rfam family "Bacterial small subunit ribosomal RNA", at positions 355 to 1375 of the family's 1533-position model. The record is from RNAcentral.
UGGGGAAUUUUGGACAAUGGGCGAAAGCCUGAUCCCAGCAAUGCCGCGUGUGUGAAGAAGGCCUUCGGGUUGUAAAGCACUUUUGUCCGGAAAGAAAUCCUUGGCUCUAAUACAGUCGGGGGAUGACGGUACCGGAAGAAUAAGCACCGGCUAACUACGUGCCAGCAGCCGCGGUAAUACGUAGGGUGCAAGCGUUAAUCGGAAUUACUGGGCGUAAAGCGUGCGCAGGCGGUUUGCUAAGACCGAUGUGAAAUCCCCGGGCUCAACCUGGGAACUGCAUUGGUGACUGGCAGGCUAGAGUAUGGCAGAGGGGGGUAGAAUUCCACGUGUAGCAGUGAAAUGCGUAGAGAUGUGGAGGAAUACCGAUGGCGAAGGCAGCCCCCUGGGCCAAUACUGACGCUCAUGCACGAAAGCGUGGGGGAGCAAACAGGAUUAGAUACCCUGGUAGUCCACGCCCUAAACGAUGUCAACUAGUUGUUGGGGACUUCAUUUCCUUAGUAACGUAGCUAACGCGUGAAGUUGACCGCCUGGGGAGUACGGUCGCAAGAUUAAAACUCAAAUGAAUUGACGGGGUCAUAGCUGUUUCCU